This 253-nucleotide ribosomal RNA is filed under the name uncultured bacterium. Its description in RNAcentral is "partial 16S ribosomal RNA". It matches the Rfam family "Bacterial small subunit ribosomal RNA", at positions 524 to 776 of the family's 1533-position model. The record is from RNAcentral.
UACGUAGGGGGCAAGCGUUGUUCGGAAUUACUGGGCGUAAAGCGCGCGUAGGCGGACCUGCAAGUCGGGGGUGAAAGCCCGAGGCUCAACCUCGGAACUGCCUUCAAUACUGCGGGUCUCGAGUCCGGGAGAGGUGAGUGGAAUUCCUAGUGUAGAGGUGAAAUUCGUAGAUAUUAGGAAGAACACCAGUGGCGAAGGCGGCUCACUGGCCCGGUACUGACGCUGAGGCGCGAAAGCGUGGGGAGCAAACAGG